UUCAGGUCGAAAAAUUUCAGGGAAACAUCCGGGGUACACAGAAUGACCAAUCAAGCGCAGAGCUAAUCGAGCUCACAGCGGCCAAUCACAACACAGCUCUGAAGCCUGUGGGAGCUGCGUCUUUUUUCACCUGUGGAGAAGCUCCGUGGCAGCUGCUUGGAGAACACAGCUCCUACAGUCAUUUGUCUGAUGUUUGCAGACUCUGGGGAAACCACUCCACAUCAUGCUUUGGAAGCUGCUUUGCCUCCUAAAUGGGUACAAACGAAGUUUAAAACAUUUUGUUGCCAAUAAAUGACAGUAUCUAUUUUA
Long non-coding RNA from Astyanax mexicanus (Mexican tetra), 309 nucleotides. RefSeq lists it as uncharacterized. The transcript has 2 exons. The record is from RefSeq and is a predicted model, not a curated record. Lineage: Eukaryota; Metazoa; Chordata; Actinopteri; Characiformes; Acestrorhamphidae.